ACGGGGGGGGCAAGCGUUGUUCGGAAUUACUGGGCGUAAAGGGCUCGUAGGCGGCCAACUAAGUCAGACGUGAAAUCCCUCGGCUUAACCGGGGAACUGCGUCUGAUACUGGAUGGCUUGAGUUUGGGAGAGGGAUGCGGAAUUCCAGGUGUAGCGGUGAAAUGCGUAGAUAUCGGGAGGAACACCUGUGGCGAAGGCGGCCCCCUGGUUGGAUACUGACGCUGAGACGCGAAAGCGUAGGGAGCAAACAGGA
This 253-nucleotide ribosomal RNA is filed under the name uncultured prokaryote. RNAcentral's name for it is "partial 16S ribosomal RNA". It matches the Rfam family "Bacterial small subunit ribosomal RNA", at positions 525 to 777 of the family's 1533-position model. The record is from RNAcentral.